CAAGUCGAACGGAGCACCCUUGACUGAGGUUUCGGCCAAAUGAUAGGAAUGCUUAGUGGCGGACUGGUGAGUAACGCGUGAGGAACCUACCUUCCAGAGGGGGACAACAGUUGGAAACGACUGCUAAUACCGCAUGACGCAUGACCGGGGCAUCCCGGGCAUGUCAAAGAUUUUAUCGCUGGAAGAUGGCCUCGCGUCUGAUUAGCUAGAUGGUGGGGUAACGGCCCACCAUGGCGACGAUCAGUAGCCGGACUGAGAGGUUGACCGGCCACAUUGGGACUGAGAUACGGCCCAGACUCCUACGGGAGGCAGCAGUGGGGAAUAUUGGGCAAUGGACGCAAGUCUGACCCAGCAACGCCGCGUGAAGGAAGAAGGCUUUCGGGUUGUAAACUUCUUUUGUCAGGGAAGAGUAGAA
Molecule: ribosomal RNA, 415 nt
Filed under: uncultured bacterium
Lineage: Bacteria
Description: bacterial SSU rRNA
Rfam family: Bacterial small subunit ribosomal RNA
Source: RNAcentral